Oncorhynchus mykiss (rainbow trout) is the source of this 742-nucleotide long non-coding RNA. RefSeq lists it as uncharacterized. Lineage: Eukaryota; Metazoa; Chordata; Actinopteri; Salmoniformes; Salmonidae. The record is from RefSeq and is a predicted model, not a curated record.
GGUUAUAUUGAAGGCCAGUGAUUGUGGGGGAACUGCCAGAGCUGAACCAGUGACUCUGUGGUUAUGGAGCGUGGCCACCACCUGUGCCAUGACCUCUUGGCAGUUGAAGCCUGCAGCAGUAGGCCUACACUAAGAAAGAAGGGCCACGUGAUCAUGUACAUCUGACCCCAGGACCAACCUGCUAUGACCAAUGAGGACUUAAACAGUCAUUUUAUACCCCUGUAGAAAUACUGACUCAUUUUCAUAUCAUCUUUAUCAUAUGUGGCCUUUCUAGGGAGUUUUUCCUAGCCACCGUGCUUCUACACCUGCAUUGCUUGCUGUUUGGGGUUUUAGGCUGGGUUUCUGUACAGCACUUUGAGAUAUCAGCUGAUGUACGAAGGGCUAUAUAAAUACAUUUGAUUUGAUGUAUAAGGACAUAUGUUUUACAUCAGUCGACAUGACAUGGACCUCAGUUGUCCAAAACACUCAAAAUAAAAGACACACAGACACAAUGCAGCUUUCAAGAUUGCUUUAAGAUAUAGAUAUAUUUUCAGAUCUGAGUUCAUGUCAAAAAUACACAUUAUGAUUUACAGAGUUUUGCACUAGAUCAUAAUGCUGAGGAUGAUAGAUGUCACAUAAGCAGUAACUGAAAUAUUCAUUUAAAUAUUAAAUAACUGACGGUAAACAAAGAAAAUGAUGUAAACACUAAAGCUACAUGUUACUCUCUAUUGCAACACUUUAAAGAUUUGUUUUUGUAACAGUA